UUUCCGGUUGAUCCUGCCGGAGGCCACUGCUAUCGGGGUUCGAUUAAGCCAUGCGAGUCGAGAGGGUUUAGACCCUCGGCGGACUGCUCAGUAACACGUGGAUAACCUGCCCUAAGGUGGAGGAUAACCCCGGGAAACUGGGGAUAAUACUCCAUAGAUUAGAGAUACUGGAAUGUUCUUUAGUCAAAAGUUCCGGCGCCUUAGGAUGGAUCUGCGGUCGAUUAGGUUGUUGUUGGGGUAACGGCCCAACAAGCCUGUAAUCGAUACGGGUUGUGGGAGCAAUAGCCCGGAGAUGGAAUCUGAGACAAGAUUCCAGGCCCUACGGGGCGCAGCAGGCGCGAAAACUUUACAAUGCAGGAAACUGUGAUAAGGGAACCCCGAGUGCCCGUAUACGCGGGCUGUCCAGGUGUUUAAAAGUCAUCUGAAGAAAGGGCCGGGCAAGACCGGUGCCAGCCGCCGCGGUAAUACCGGCGGCUCGAGUGGUGGCCACUAUUAUUGGGCUUAAAGCGUCCGUAGCUGGACUGAUAAGUCUCUUGGGAAAUCCGCCGGCUCAACCGGCGGGCGUCUAAGGGAUACUGUUGGUCUAGGGACCGGGAGAGGUGAGAGGUACUCCGGGGGUAGGAGUGAAAUCCUGUAAUCCCCGGGGGACCACCGAUGGCGAAGGCAUCUCACCAGAACGGCUCCGACAGUGAGGGACGAAAGCUGGGGGAGCAAACCGGAUUAGAUACCCGGGUAGUCCCAGCCGUAAACUAUGCGCGUUAGGUGUGCUGGUGACCACGUGUCACCGGGGUGCCGA
Molecule: ribosomal RNA, 796 nt
Filed under: uncultured Methanogenium sp.
Lineage: Archaea; Methanobacteriati; Methanobacteriota; Methanomicrobia; Methanomicrobiales; Methanomicrobiaceae
Description: bacterial SSU rRNA
Rfam family: Archaeal small subunit ribosomal RNA
Source: RNAcentral